CGCGACCUCAGGUCAGGCGGGACUACCCGCUG
RNAcentral lists this ribosomal RNA (32 nucleotides) under Catabrosella variegata. RNAcentral's name for it is "partial 26S ribosomal RNA". Lineage: Eukaryota; Viridiplantae; Streptophyta; Magnoliopsida; Poales; Poaceae. The record is from RNAcentral.